Dromiciops gliroides (monito del monte) is the source of this 109-nucleotide small nuclear RNA. The record is from RefSeq and is a predicted model, not a curated record. Lineage: Eukaryota; Metazoa; Chordata; Mammalia; Microbiotheria; Microbiotheriidae.
GUGCUGGCUUCCUCAGCACAUAUACUAAAAUUGAAACAAUACAGAGAAGAUUAGCAUGGCCUCUGUACAAGGAUGACAGGCAAAUUUGUGAAGAGAGUAGGAAAUGUUU